UACGGAGGGGGCUAGCGUUGUUCGGAAUUACUGGGCGUAAAGCGCACGUAGGCGGCUUUGCAAGUUAGAGGUGAAAGCCCGGGGCUCAACUCCGGAAUUGCCUUUAAAACUGCAUCGCUAGAAUUGUGGAGAGGUAAGUGGAAUUCCGAGUGUAGAGGUGAAAUUCGUAGAUAUUCGGAAGUACACCAGUGGCGAAGGCGACUUACUGGACACAUAUUGACGCUGAGGUGCGAAAGCGUGGGGAGCAAACAGG
RNAcentral lists this ribosomal RNA (253 nucleotides) under uncultured bacterium. RNAcentral describes it as "partial 16S ribosomal RNA". It matches the Rfam family "Bacterial small subunit ribosomal RNA", at positions 524 to 776 of the family's 1533-position model. The record is from RNAcentral.